GAGCCGGAGGGAAACCGAGUCUUAAUUGGGCGUUAAGUUGCAGGGUAUAGACCCGAAACCCGGUGAUCUAGCCAUGGGCAGGUUGAAGGUUGGGUAACACUAACUGGAGGACCGAACCGACUAAUGUUGAAAAAUUAGCGGAUGACCUGUGGCUGGGGGUGAAAGGCCAAUCAAACCGGGAGAUAGCUGGUUCUCCCCGAAAGCUAUUUAGGUAGCGCCUCGUGAAUUCAUCUCCGGGGGUAGAGCACUGUUUCGGCUAGGGGGCCAUCCCGGCUUACCAACCCGAUGCAAACUGCGAAUACCGGAGAAUGUUAUCACGGGAGACACACGGCGGGUGCUAACGUCCGUCGUGAAGAGGGAAACAACCCAGACCGCCAGCUAAGGUCCCAAAGUCAUGGUUAAGUGGGAAACGAUGUGGGAAGGCCCAGACAGCCAGGAUGUUGGCUUAGAAGCAGCCAUCAUUUAAAGAAAGCGUAAUAGCUCACUGGUCGAGUCGGCCUGCGCGGAAGAUGUAACGGGGCUAAACCAUGCACCGAAGCUGCGGCAGCGACACUCAGGUGUUGUUGGGUAGGGGAGCGUUCUGUAAGCCUGCGAAGGUGGCCUGUGAGGGUUGCUGGAGGUAUCAGAAGUGCGAAUGCUGACAUAAGUAACGAUAAAGCGGGUGAAAAGCCCGCUCGCCGGAAGACCAAGGGUUCCUGUCCAACGUUAAUCGGGGCAGGGUGAGUCGACCCCUAAGGCGAGGCCGAAAGGCGUAGUCGAUGGGAAACGGGUUAAUAUUCCCGUACUUGGUGUUACUGCGAAGGGGGGACGGAGAAGGCUAUGUUGGCCGGGCGACGGUUGUCCCGGUUUAAGCGUGUAGGUGUGUGUUCCAGGUAAAUCCGGUUCACUUUAACACUGAGGCGUGACGACGAGGCACUACGGUGCUGAAGCAACAAAUGCCCUGCUUCCAGGAAAAGCCUCUAAGCAUCAGGUAACAUCAAAUCGUACCCCAAACCGACACAGGUGGUCAGGUAGAGAAUACCAAGGCGCUUGAGAGAACUCGGGUGAAGGAACUAGGCAAAAUGGUGCCGUAACUUCGGGAGAAGGCACGCUGACACGUAGGUGAAGUGAUUUACUCACGGAGCUGAAGUCAGUCGAAGAUACCAGCUGGCUGCAACUGUUUAUUAAAAACACAGCACUGUGCAAACACGAAAGUGGACGUAUACGGUGUGACGCCUGCCCGGUGCCGGAAGGUUAAUUGAUGGGGUCAGCGCAAGCGAAGCUCCUGAUCGAAGCCCCGGUAAACGGCGGCCGUAACUAUAACGGUCCUAAGGUAGCGAAAUUCCUUGUCGGGUAAGUUCCGACCUGCACGAAUGGCGUAAUGAUGGCCAGGCUGUCUCCACCCGAGACUCAGUGAAAUUGAACUCGCUGUGAAGAUGCAGUGUACCCGCGGCAAGACGGAAAGACCCCGUGAACCUUUACUAUAGCUUGACACUGAACAUUGAGCCUUGAUGUGUAGGAUAGGUGGGAGGCUUUGAAGUGUGGACGCCAGUCUGCAUGGAGCCGACCUUGAAAUACCACCCUUUAAUGUUUGAUGUUCUAACGUGGACCCGUGAUCCGGGUUGCGGACAGUGUCUGGUGGGUAGUUUGACUGGGGCGGUCUCCUCCUAAAGAGUAACGGAGGAGCACGAAGGUUGGCUAAUCCUGGUCGGACAUCAGGAGGUUAGUGCAAUGGCAUAAGCCAGCUUGACUGCGAGCGUGACGGCGCGAGCAGGUGCGAAAGCAGGUCAUAGUGAUCCGGUGGUUCUGAAUGGAAGGGCCAUCGCUCAACGGAUAAAAGGUACUCCGGGGAUAACAGGCUGAUACCGCCCAAGAGUUCAUAUCGACGGCGGUGUUUGGCACCUCGAUGUCGGCUCAUCACAUCCUGGGGCUGAAGUAGGUCCCAAGGGUAUGGCUGUUCGCCAUUUAAAGUGGUACGCGAGCUGGGUUUAGAACGUCGUGAGACAGUUCGGUCCCUAUCUGCCGUGGGCGCUGGAGAACUGAGGGGGGCUGCUCCUAGUACGAGAGGACCGGAGUGGACGCAUCACUGGUGUUCGGGUUGUCAUGCCAAUGGCACUGCCCGGUAGCUAAAUGCGGAAGAGAUAAGUGCUGAAAGCAUCUAAGCACGAAACUUGCCCCGA
This 2159-nucleotide ribosomal RNA is filed under the name Salmonella enterica. RNAcentral's name for it is "partial 23S ribosomal RNA". It matches the Rfam family "Bacterial large subunit ribosomal RNA", at positions 663 to 2802 of the family's 2925-position model. The record is from RNAcentral. Lineage: Bacteria; Pseudomonadati; Pseudomonadota; Gammaproteobacteria; Enterobacterales; Enterobacteriaceae.